RNAcentral lists this unclassified non-coding RNA (209 nucleotides) under Clavulinopsis corallinorosacea. Its description in RNAcentral is "internal transcribe spacer 2". The record is from RNAcentral. Lineage: Eukaryota; Fungi; Basidiomycota; Agaricomycetes; Agaricales; Clavariaceae.
AAUUCUCAACUUCAAAUUUGUUUUUGAAGCUUGGAUGUUGGGGGAUUUGCAGGCACACACUUAGUGUCAGCUCCUCUYAAAUGCAUUAGCAGAACUAUUGAAGGAUCAGCUCUGGUUUGAUAAUCCUAUCUAUGCCAUUGCUGAGACUCUAAAGGUUUUCGGCUUCUAAUUGUCUUCGGACUGUCUCUUGCGAGGCAUAAGCUUUUUGA